CCUGCUCAAUGAAAACUUUAAAUAGCCGCAACUUUGUGCCAAGGUAGCAUAAUAAAUUGUCUUUUAAUUUAAGAAUAGAAUGAAUGGAAAAACGAAUUAUAAACUUUUUUAUAAUUAUUCUAUUAAUUUAAAUUUUAUGUAAAAAUUCAUAAAAAAAAUAAAUAGACGACAAGACCCUAACGAACUUAACUUUAAGUUUAACUGGGGUGGUAUAAAUAAUUAAAACUUAAAAAAAACUUUAACUUAACUUAUUUAAUAAAAUUUUAAGUUACCGUAGGGAUAACAGCAUAAUAAAGUUUUAAGAUCAUAUUUAUUACUAUAUUUAUAUAUGACCUCGAUGUUGAAUUAUUAAUUCUAUUUUAUGAAAAAGCAAAAUAAGUAAGUCUGUUCGACUUUUAAAAUAAUACAU
RNAcentral lists this ribosomal RNA (409 nucleotides) under Leclercera sp. 147 FL-2018. RNAcentral describes it as "partial 16S ribosomal RNA". The record is from RNAcentral. Lineage: Eukaryota; Metazoa; Arthropoda; Arachnida; Araneae; Ochyroceratidae.